RNAcentral lists this long non-coding RNA (1044 nucleotides) under Apteryx owenii (little spotted kiwi). RNAcentral describes it as "lncRNA (ENSAOWG00000004045.1)". Lineage: Eukaryota; Metazoa; Chordata; Aves; Apterygiformes; Apterygidae. The record is from RNAcentral.
AUGAAAACAGAUUCCAAGCAGUUCUAAUAAUUUGUACAUUUAAUUGCAGUGCUCUCAAUCAUCUUGUCUGCUUCAGCACAAGUCAAACCUGCAGAUUUUUCGGAGAGAGAAAAGUGCAAGCAUUUUUCUGCCAAGAGGAAGUUUGUGUGCAACUCUGUGCAUGAGUGAUUGAGUGAUGCUGACUCCUCUACUGGCCGUAACACAGACAUUAGCAAUAUAAACACCCCUCCCUGCAAAUCUUGUAUUAAAUGGCCUAAUUUCCUGCUGAAACUUAAUGGUGCAAUAAAGAAUACUGUGAAGAGGUGCACCUUAUGCCAGUCUGAUGUACUGGCGAGGCAAGCAGGGAGAGAAAGUUCUAAAAAACACUUCAAAAUGUCACUUCAGCAAUGCCAGACAGCUGUGCAAAAUCACAAUGGCAGAUGUGUGAUGCUGGACUGAGGAAUAUGCCUGGUGCUGACUGCAAGGAUGCCAUAAAGACAGCAGGCUGGGAUGCCCAUCAAAGUUGCCUUUUGUCUGGUCUCAGUGCCCAGCCAAGAAGCUGCUUACCCUACCCAGUGCUGCAUGAUGAAAAGCCAAAUAUCACAUCUUCCCUUGCCUGGUCCACAGCCUCCAGUGAAAGCAGUUACAAGACACAAGCAGUUUCAGCAAAACCAGAGAGCUGACAGGAUGAGAUUGUCUUCAAUUUUUGUCUAACGACUUUGAAGCGGUCAUGCCUGCUUGGAAUCAGCUUUCCAGGGCUGUGAGCCAAAAGCAAGAUGUGCCAGGGUGCACGUCACCAAAAUCCUGAGAUGGAAGAGGAGACCAAAGUAACAAGCUUCCUCGCUUGAAAACUGACCUCAGCUGAGCACAAGAAUGCUGUGGUCAGGCAUCAGGAUACAAAACAGGCAGGACACCCCUUCUGGACCAGUUCUGCACAUGAAGCUGGCUCUCUUCUUCUACAGGGUAGGAAGCAAACAUCAUGCAAAUGAGGGAUAAACUAGACCAUUAACCUUGUUGCUCUUCCUCUCCAUCUUUGUCAAGAUUAAUUAGUCUGGAAGCUAUAAC